Molecule: ribosomal RNA, 331 nt
Filed under: Amphisbaena mebengokre
Lineage: Eukaryota; Metazoa; Chordata; Lepidosauria; Squamata; Amphisbaenidae
Description: partial large subunit ribosomal RNA
Rfam family: Bacterial large subunit ribosomal RNA
Source: RNAcentral
GCCUGCCCAGUGAUCAUAAUUUAACGGCCGCGGUAUCCUAACCGUGCAAAGGUAGCGCAAAGUUUUUAGUUGGGGCGACUUUGGAACAAACCUAAACUUCCAAGCCUAUCACUUACGGCGUACAUGCCUAAACCCGAACCACACGACCCAAUACAAUUGACCAACGAACCAAGUUACCCCAGGGAUAACAGCGCAAUCUUCUUCUAGAGUCCCUAUCGACAAGAAGGUUUACGACCUCGAUGUUGGAUCAGGAUAUCCAAAUAGUGCAGUCGCUAUUAAAGGUUCGUUUGUUCAACGAUUAAUAAUCCUACGUGAUCUGAGUUCAGACCGG